GGAGGAUUUUACUCUUGGGAAAUGGAAAGGCCUAUGGAGGAACAAUCUUCUGACCACCCUCAGAGAAGCCCAAUGGUUGACCUGGAGGCAAACCUGACAGAAGACAUCUUGACUUCCUUACAUUUGUCAAGUUCUAUUUGGAAACACUGACAGAGAAUUUGUGUGUGGAUGAAAUACAUAGCUGGUGAUCACAAGCUUCUAAGGAUCUGAUGACAUCAAA
This 220-nucleotide long non-coding RNA is filed under the name Chinchilla lanigera (long-tailed chinchilla). RNAcentral describes it as "lncRNA (ENSCLAG00000025695.1)". Lineage: Eukaryota; Metazoa; Chordata; Mammalia; Rodentia; Chinchillidae. The record is from RNAcentral.